RNAcentral lists this ribosomal RNA (1350 nucleotides) under uncultured bacterium. RNAcentral describes it as "bacterial SSU rRNA". It matches the Rfam family "Bacterial small subunit ribosomal RNA", at positions 28 to 1381 of the family's 1533-position model. The record is from RNAcentral.
GGCGAGCGCGGGCGGCUUGCUUGACACAGUGCGAGUCGAGCGAGGAGGCCUAGCUUGCUAGGUGGAUUAGUGGCGAACGGGUGAGUAAUACGUGAGUAACCUACCUUUAACUCUGGGAUAAGCCUGGGAAACUGGGUCUAAUACCGGAUACGACCAAUCUCCGCAUGGGGUGUUGGUGGAAAGCGUUAUGUAGUGGUUAUAGAUGGGCUCACGGCCUAUCAGCUUGUUGGUGAGGUAACGGCUCACCAAGGCGACGACGGGUAGCCGGCCUGAGAGGGUGACCGGCCACACUGGGACUGAGACACGGCCCAGACUCCUACGGGAGGCAGCAGUGGGGAAUAUUGCACAAUGGGCGCAAGCCUGAUGCAGCGACGCCGCGUGAGGGAUGACGGCCUUCGGGUUGUAAACCUCUGUUAGCAGGGAAGAAGAGAGAUUGACGGUACCUGCAGAGAAAGCGCCGGCUAACUACGUGCCAGCAGCCGCGGUAAUACGUAGGGCGCGAGCGUUGUCCGGAAUUAUUGGGCGUAAAGAGCUUGUAGGGCGGUUUGUCGCGUCUGCUGUGAAAGACCGGAGCUUAACUCCGUGUAUUGCAGUGGGUACGGGCAGACUAGAGUGCAGUAGGGGAGACUGGAAUUCCUGGUGUAGCGGUGGAAUGCGCAGAUAUCAGGAGGAACACCGAUGGCGAAGGCAGGUCUCUGGGCUGUAACUGACGCUGAGAAGCGAAAGCAUGGGGAGCGAACAGGAUUAGAUACCCUGGUAGUCCAUGCCGUAAACGUUGGGCACUAGGUGUGGGGGACAUUCCACGUUUUCCGCGCCGUAGCUAACGCAUUAAGUGCCCCGCCUGGGGAGUACGGCCGCAAGGCUAAAACUCAAAGAAAUUGACGGGGGCCCGCACAAGCGGCGGAGCAUGCGGAUUAAUUCGAUGCAACGCGAAGAACCUUACCAAGGCUUGACAUAUACUGGACCGCAUCAGAGAUGGUGUUUCCCUUCGGGGCUGGUAUACAGGUGGUGCAUGGUUGUCGUCAGCUCGUGUCGUGAGAUGUUGGGUUAAGUCCCGCAACGAGCGCAACCCUCGUUCUAUGUUGCCAGCACGUUAUGGUGGGGACUCAUAGGAGACUGCCGGGGUCAACUCGGAGGAAGGUGGGGAUGACGUCAAAUCAUCAUGCCCCUUAUGUCUUGGGCUUCACGCAUGCUACAAUGGCCGGUACAGAGGGUUGCGAUACUGUGAGGUGGAGCUAAUCCCUAAAAGCCGGUCUCAGUUCGGAUUGGGGUCUGCAACUCGACCCCAUGAAGUCGGAGUCGCUAGUAAUCGCAGAUCAGCAACGCUGCGGUGAAUACGUUCCCGGGCCU